Molecule: long non-coding RNA, 1083 nt
Organism: Monomorium pharaonis (pharaoh ant)
Lineage: Eukaryota; Metazoa; Arthropoda; Insecta; Hymenoptera; Formicidae
Exons: 2
Source: RefSeq, a predicted model, not a curated record
ACUGAAAAAGAAAAAAAUAAAGUUCUGUUGUAAUCCUUGAAAGUUAACUUAUAUUUUUUAUAUUGUAGGAAUAACCUUUUGAGACAAUAGUUUCUAUAAUAAUAAAGUAACUUAAGGGGCUACAUACACCUAGAAAUUUUGAAAAAAUGAAUUUUUCGUUUUUUUGGUAUUUGGAAAGUAUAAGGUCUUGAGAAUAUCUCUUGCAAGUUUCAAAGUGAUUCCUUAAAAAUUGUCGGAGAUAUAGCGAGAAAGAUCCAAACGCGUUUAACGAUGCUGGGGCGCGAUGAGCGCCUUCUAAUCCUUUGCAACAGAUAGCUUACACAAGAAUAUUACGCCGGCAAGCUAGAAUCGAAGCCUUUGAUGCCGCUACAUCUGGGGAGGGUUCACUGUAUGGUCCUGGAGUGGAUGACUUUAUAUAAGUCCUGUACGAGCUGCAAUUGGCACCGCGGAGCACCUUUUUUUAACAAGGUCUUGCGACGAGGACAAUAUCUCCGCCAUUUUUAAAUAUUUUUAGUUUAAAUUUAUUCUGAAACAUGUUCUAAGAAUGUAUUUUAAAGUAAAGAAAACUAGGAUUAAUUACAUACAUUACGUUUCGAAAAAAAAAUCGAGAAAGAGACCUAUUUUUUACGUCUCUGGGUGUAUGUAGCCCCUUAAAGAAGAUCUUGUUUUUAAAAAGUUUUUAGAGCCAUUUACUUUGUUUCUGACUUAAAAUUUUUUUCAUUAAAAAUUUAAUAUGGCAAGCAAAAGUAAAACAACCUGAUUUAUUAUGAAACUUUCAAAAGUUAUAAGAUAUUGAAUUUGAAUAUAUUGAAUUUAAAUCGUCAAAAUAUCAAAAUAUAAAUAUCUCAUUCUAACUUAUUGCACCAAUGCAGCAGUGCAGCGAAAAAGAACAGCUCAAUAGAGUGCAAGAACCAACCAAAAGAAUAUCAGGCGAUUAAAAAGACAAUUAAAUAACCUGGAUAUAUAUUAUGAGUUUUUAUAUCUAACUCUUCUAUUUGCUUAUGUUAUAAUCAAGAUUUAAGAGUUAAUGCACUUGUAGGCAUUACCACACUGAGCUAACACGAUUUAAAUAAAAAAAAACUA